RNA transcript from Papaver somniferum (opium poppy), 2173 nucleotides. It is a transcript of the gene named mitochondrial carrier protein MTM1-like, with no coding region annotated. The transcript is spliced from 11 exons. Lineage: Eukaryota; Viridiplantae; Streptophyta; Magnoliopsida; Ranunculales; Papaveraceae. The record is from RefSeq and is a predicted model, not a curated record.
UGACUCAGAGAGAGGGGAUCGAGUUGAUGAUCCUCCAGAAACAGAGGAAUACGUUAGCCGAUCUCUUCUCUUUUCUCCACAUUUCACAGUGACUCUUGUCCUUCUCAUCAUCAAAGGCACUGACACCUCCCGCUCUCUGUAUAAACCUAGAAAAUAUCAAAAACCCAUUUCUCUGAUUUUAUCUAAAACCUAAUUGGAGGAGGAUUUUAAUUUCUGUUUCCUGAAAACCCUUUUUUGUUUUUUUGGUUGGUUAUUGAUUUGAAUCAGAAAAGGUUAUAUUUAUUGGGAUUAUAUUUAAGAUUUAAAGGAGAUGGUUUGUUCAAGACCUAGUGUGCCUCCGUCGUGGAUGAGUGCGGCUGCAUCAAGAGUUGAUUUUGAAGGGAAUGUUUCUUCAAUGUCUGAUUCUAUUUUCACACCACCGCCGCCUGAUCCUGUUGGGGCUGCCAAUAAAAUUGUUGAUGUUAAUUUAGGGUUUGGAGAAAGAACUUUUUCUGCUGCUGGUGCUGCUGUUCUUUCUGUUAUUCUUGUCAAUCCUCUUGAUGUUGCUAAGACAAGAUUGCAAGCACAGGCUGCGGGUGUUCCAUACUCAAAUGUAACCGAAUAUGUUUGUGCUCGGAUGACAGCUUUUCGGACGAGCGGGAUAUUUUCAGAUUUGAGAUGUAGUCCUUCAUGUGCUCGUGCAGCAUUAUUUGGUCCAUCAUUUAUAUGCCCUCCUGAUUGCUUUACGUACAAAGGAACGCUAGAUGUUUUCAAUAAAAUUAUUCAACAGGAAGGAGUUGCAAGGUUGUGGAGGGGUACAAAUGCUGGCCUAGCACUAGCUGUACCAACUGUUGCGAUAUACUUACCCAUGUACGAUGUCCUUCGCAACUGGAUGGAAGAUCUUACCAUCAGGAAUGCUCCGUACUUGACUACUUAUGUACCCUUAGUUUCAGGCUCCUUGGCACGUUCAUUAGCCUGCAUUUCUUGCUAUCCUAUUGAACUCGCUAAGACCAGGAUGCAGGCAUUUAAAGAGGUCCAAGGUGGUGCGAAGCCUCCUGGUGUGUUGAAAACUUUACAUGGAGUUCUCCCAUCUUCUGAGUACUCCAAUAACAUGCAAAACUUGCAAAGAUACCGCACGUUGUGGACAGGAGUUGGAGCACAACUUGCUCGCGAUGUUCCCUUCUCUGCAAUUUGCUGGUCAACACUUGAGCCGAUGAGAAGAAGGCUUCUUGGUCUGGUGGGUGAUGAAGGCAAUGUAGCAGGAGUCCUUGGGGCCAAUUUCGCAGCAGGAUUUGCUGCAGGAGGCCUCGCAGCUGCUGCCACAUGCCCUCUAGAUGUUGUAAAAACACGAAGGCAAAUAGAGAAGGACCCAGCCAGGGCACUGAGAAUGACGACAAGGCAAACACUGAUGGAAGUUUGGAGGGAUAGAGGAAUGAAAGGCCUCUUUACAGGUGUAGGGCCACGUGUUGCUCGUGCUGGUCCAUCCGUAGGUAUUGUAGUUUCCUUUUAUGAAGUUGUGAAAUACGUGGUACAUGAAAGGCGUGUGAAUGCAUUAUAAGAGGCUAGCAGAAGAAAAUGUUCUAUUAAAGAGUUUUUGAAAGCCGCCUCCGCUUCAAGUGAUGUACCUGGCGAGGAUCGUAUGAGAGACCCAAAAUUUUGCCUCCAAAGUUCAAACCCUUAGUGGAAAUACCCGAUUAACGAAAAUAUGUGUAUCCUUUGAUGAUUACCAAAGGCUGAUCUUUAUUUGUAUGAUCGAAGUCAAAGGUCAUCCUAACUCUCAGAAAUGAAAUGAUGAUAGCCAAACUCUUAUGCAUGAAGGUCGGCCAAUACAACCAAACGCAGAGUGAGAGAGUACAUAUGCACUGACAGAAGUAAACUAUGUUAGCAGUACCGCGUGCUCCCAAAAAUCAACAUCGACUGAACAAAAUUCCUGGUUAGAAUGCCUAAACGAGCAUAACAAAAUUGGAGUGUUAGUCCCACUUUGACAACUAUACUUUUUAAAACACCACUGGCUGGAGGUGUUCCAAUCUUCUAGCCGUAAUAAGACAUUGUAAGCCACUUCCACAUAAUUUGAAGACUUGUUAUCAAAGAUUUUUGCACAUCUGGGUUUCCAGAUGAGCCAAAUUGUAAAACACGUAGUAUCAUACAUCUUAAAAUCUUUACCAACACUAAUAUUGACUGUGAAGAAAAAAUC